Long non-coding RNA from Hemicordylus capensis (graceful crag lizard), 6009 nucleotides. RefSeq lists it as uncharacterized. The record is from RefSeq and is a predicted model, not a curated record. The transcript has 2 exons. Lineage: Eukaryota; Metazoa; Chordata; Lepidosauria; Squamata; Cordylidae.
AGAGACCGUUUGGAGGACGUCGGAGCCGUAGCCGCAGUGGAGGCUGCUGGGGAGGGGUCUGGUCCCUCGCCUGCUUCCCUCAGCCAGAGGAGGAAUGAGGCUCUCAAGAGUUUGUCACCAAAGCUAGUGGCCCUUACACGCGAGGUGCAAUUGUAGAAGACCGAGUACUACACACUUGCCUUGUGAUGCAUGCUCCUGGUUUCUCUCGUGUGUGUGUUGUGUGUGUGUGUAGGCUGUUGUGUAGGAAUUGGGUCAAUUGUGAAGCAGCCCUAAGAGGAACAACUUGUUUUGUGGUGAAGAGUCUAUAUAUGCACCUCAGCCUUUAAGGAAAAUGGUGGCAAAAUGAACUAAGGGAGAGCGGUGGGUACUGUAAUCCUGUAUAAAUAACUUGGGCCCAGAUCAAAUGUGAUGGUGGAUGCACAAAAAGAUGUGUGAUUCUGCAGAGUCCCAUCAUUGCAUUUAAACUCUGCCCUUAGCACUGUGCAUGCAGGGUUAGUGUGUCAGUGUAGAACCGGUUCAGGUGAUGGCUUCCUGGCAUGCAUAUCCUGGCAAGGCAACCCAGCUUCCUUGAGACAGGUGCAUGCAAUGCUGCACAGGUGAUACUUGUUGAUUAGGGCACAUGUUUAAAUUGUGCCCCUUCUUUCAGUACAAGGAGAGGAGAGCUGGUCUUGUGGUAGCAAGCAUGACUUGUCCCCAUAGCUAAGCAGGGUCUGCCCUGGUUGCAUAUGAAUGGGAGACUUGAUGUGUGAGCACUGUAAGAUAUUCCCCUCAAGGGAUGAAGCUGCUCUGGGAAGAGCAGAACAUUUCAAGUUCCCUCCCUGACUGCAUCUCCAAGAUAGGGCUAAGAGAGAUUCAACCUUAGAGAAGCCGCUGCCAGUCUGUGAAGACAAUACUGAGCUAGAUAGACCAAUGGUCUGACUCAGUAUAUGGCAGUUCCCUAUGUUCCUAAGGACAAGUGAAUUGGCAAGACAAGUAAUGGACUCAAGCACCCUUUCAAGAGAGGGUGAAGUGCAAUUCUCUCACUUCCCUAGAGAAAAGGUAUGGAGAAGUUCCAUUAACAUAGGCUUGACUGGAAGACACUAACAAAUCAAUUUCUUCUAUAAAUUAGGCUGAAAGCCUAUGCUUAUGUCACUCUAGAAGCCAAGAGAAGGGCAAAGGUAUAACCCUUGAAAGAGAAUAAGGCCAGGGCCUAUGACACUUUCCACACAAUGUGCUCUUUUACCACAAUGUGCUCUUUACAGUUCCUAUUUGCCACAAAACAUAUGGAUAACUCCCCCAGAAUACUGUUGCUAUCUUGUUAUAGUGUUUUUCCUGUUCUUUGUAAAAUUAUGUAGUGUAUUUCAAAAAUUGUUUUUAGACAAAACUGACUUUGAACAAUUAUUUAUAAAGAAACAUCAGAAAAGUAUUAAAUCUUCAUAUUUCAGGGCAUAAACUAACAGUUAAAGACUCUAAUAUAGACAAUUAAAAUGCUAGAUAACAACUUUAAAAACUAAAGUCAUGCAGCAGUGAUCUAAAAGUGUUCGCUUCAAAGAAAAAUCCCAUUGUAUUCAAUGGGUUCUACACUAAUUGAAUAUGGUUAGAAUUGCAGCUUUUAACAGACUUAAAAGUGGACUUAGAUUUGUGACAUUUGUUAGAAGAGUAAGCAUAGUUACAACAAAAUCUUCAUUGCCAUUUCAGAUGUGAUGUUAGGUAAUAUUUGUAUUUAGGAAAUUUUUGCAAGUUGCAUCCAGGUGUUGGAUUGUGAAUAUUGCACCUACAUUCCAUAUACAAAUUAUCUACCAUACAAAUGAUAGGUAACCUUUAGAGAAACACUGUCUAGGUAGAAAAUGUAUAGAAUGUUUGAAGUAGCCCUAAUGCAUAGUGGUAAAACUCUUCUGCAGACCUAGACAUUUUUGAAAGUUCUCUAAAUUUGUACAGUAUUGUUGGCUGACAUACAGUAUAGUGCCCUGUGAAUCCACAUGUGGGGCACGCAUACUGUGACUAGCUACUGAGCAGCACAUGCUCGCCACUUGCAAACAUGGGACUGUUCCAUGCCUUUUAAAGUGUGCAUCUUGGCAGCUGUGUUGCCACUUCCAUUAUUCCCAAUGGAAGUAACAAUGCAGCAGCAAGGACAUGUUAUUUAGGAGGCAGGGCCAUAACAAUGUUGGAGUGGGCCCAGAGGCAAAAUGUUAAAAUGGGCCCCUUCCUGAUACACACGCACACACACUUCACAAUAUAUAGUGAAGUGGGGGUGGGAUUGUAACCCAGCGAUCUCAUCUCUUGAUCCUUCUGGACUUUUCAAACACGUGGGAAGGAAGGAUCAUUCAGAAUAAUGAAGGAAGCUCGGCGGGUGUUGGAGAGUCAUGUGACUUGCCUCUGGGGGGCCCCUGGAGGUGUGGGGGCCUCCAGGCAACCGCCUCCCCUUGCCUAAUAGUAGUUACGCCCCUGUUAGGAGGCAUGGAACAAUCCCAUGUUUGCAACUGGUGAGCACGGGCUGUUCAAUGGCUUGGUAGCAGCGUGCACACCCUACUUCUGGAUCUGCAUGGCGCUGUGCUGUAUGUCAGCUCUUGUGAUGAUAGCAUGUUACUAUCUAGAUACAGUUCUGCAGACCAGUUAUAUUUGUUCAUCUACACCUAAGCUAUUUAAUCAUAUAUGUGUAUCUGGUAUCCCUGUUUCAGCAUAAAGUAAUGUUUGCAAAACCUAUAAAGACACUAGCAAUGUGUGGUCAUUCUACCUAGUGCUUGACCUUAAAGAACAUAAGAACAGCCCUGCUGGAUCAGGCCCAAGGCCCAUCUAGUCCAGCAUCCUGUUUCUCACAGUGGCCCACCAGAUGCUGCUGGAAGCCACAAGCAGGAGUUGAGGGCGUGCCCUCUCUCCUGCCAUUUCUCCCCUGCAACUGGUUCUCAGAGCCAUCCUGCCUUUUGAGACUAGAGGUGGCCCACAGCCCUCCGACUAGUAGCCAUUGAUAGACCUCUCCUCCAUGAAGUUAUCCAAACCCCUCUUAAAGCCAUCCAGGUUGUUGGCUGUCACUACAUCCUGUGGCAGAGAGUUCCACAAGUGGAUCACGCAUUGUGUGAAAAAGUACUUCCGUUUGUUGGUCCUAGACCUCCUGGCAAUCAAUUUCAUGGAGUGACCCCUGGUUCUAGUGUUGUGUGAGAGGGAAAAGAAUUUCUCUCUCUCCAAAUUCUCCAAACCAUGCAUGAUUUUGUAGACCUCUAUCAGGUCUCCCCGCAGUCAUCUUUUUUCUAAGCUAAAAAGCCCCAGGUGUUGUAGUCUUGCCUCAUAAGAAAGGUGCUCUAGGCCCCUGAUCAUCUUGGUUGCCCUCUUCUGCACCUUUUCCAGUUCAACAAUAUCCUUUUUAAGAUGUGUUGACCAGAAUUGUACGCAGUACUCCAAGUGUGGUCGCACCUUUGUAUAUGACCUUACACACCAGAGUACCUGACAAAGCUUUCAUAAGUUCAUUCUAUAUCAUGGCAAAGCCACUUUUAACACAAUUGCUGAUGACAUUUGUCAAGCUGAUAGGCUUUCACGUGGUUUUUGCAGAAUCAGCUGACCAUAAUAGCUAUCACUAAGUAAUGUCUUUCUCUCAAUUUAUGGUGUGAGACCGUGAUACAUUAAAAUGGUAUUUAAAAUUGCCAGCGUACAAAUAACUCAUAGUGGCCCAACUACUUGUAGAUAAGAGGACAACUCUCUGAAUUUUAUUCUUUAAUAAAAAAAAACUUGCAUUAAAUUUGAAAACAAAGCAGUAAUAUUUUAACUAUAAAAACCUCGAAUGGCACAUUGACUUGUUUCUAGCUCAGCAUGUUUUCAUCAUUUUAGGUAGGAUUUGUAUGUGCCAUUGGAAGUAUUUUAGCAUUUGGUCAUUCUUCUUCCCCGUGUGUGGUGUUGAGUUUUAUAGUAUAGCUAAUAUCCAGACUAACCCUCUGUGACAUGCCGUGUGUGUGUGUGAGAGAGAGAUUUUUAGAAACCACCUCUUCCCUAUGCAGCCACUGUGCAUCCCCAUCUCCCUGGCAGUGUUCCCUCUAAGGCCUGUGCACGUGUUCACAUGGUUUGUUAAAUGUCUGCUCAGUCAAUUUUGGUUCCCACUCAGGUUGAACCAGGAAGGUCCCACUCCAAAUGCAUGUGUGCACACACUGCCUUGAUACUGCCACCUAGAAAAAAAUUGAUUCCACACACUGAUGGGAGGGCAAAAAAAUAGAUAGAACACUGCUCCCUGGGGUUUAGGGAUCCUCAGGGAAAUGUUUUUGGGAAACACAGGAACAUAGGAAGCUGCCAUAUACUGAGUCAGACCAUAGGUCCACCUCGCUCAGUAUUGUCUUCACAGACUGGCAGCGGCUUCUCCAAGGUUCCAGGCAGGAAUCUCUCUCAGCUCUAUCUUGGAGAAGCCAAGGAGCGAACUUGAAACCUCCUGCUCUUCCCAGAGUGGCUCUAAGGGGAAUAUCUUACAGUGUUCACAUGUCUAGUCUCCCUUUCAUAUGCACCCAAGGUGGACCCUGCUUAGCUAAGGGGACAAGUCAUGCUUGCUACCACAAAACCAGGGGAAUCGCUGAAAAUAACUUCUCACCCAACCUCCCGCUACCACAUGUAAUAGAAAACCCUGGCACAUCAGUGGAUGGUUACUCUGGUUCUCGGCUACUGUUACAGAUUUGGACUUUCACAAACUAAUGAAUGUUUCUGGGGGCCUCAAUUCAAAUAUAGCUUGUUGGCAAGUUUUAAGUUCUUAAAGCUCUACUGUAACUAGGAUUUAUCUAUGACUAGAAUUUAUCCAGAGAAUGUCAUCUUUCUGCUAUUAUUUUACCUUACAAGCUGAAGUUCACUUUCAAAGGCAACUCGAGACAGCUUUUUUCCUAUGACGAAUUGGUAACUAGGAACAGGAACUAUGUCCUUUCUGUUUCUCCAAAUUAUUAUUGUUGCAUAAAUCUUUGCAUUCAGUUGUCUACUUCUUUACCAGGUGCUAGGGUAUGCAUUCAUAUUGUAUAAUUUUAUAAGAGGGGUUUACAUCAAUCUAGCAGUGAUAAGACCAUCUGAGAUGGGGGGGGGGAAUUGCUGAGUUUUAAAUAAAGCAAUCAUUCUUUUUCUUUGUGAAUAAGUAAACAUUCAUUUGUCUGUUACAUUUUCUAAGUUUUGCAUGAUUCAAACUAAAUUCAAGUUACAGAACAAUCACAGAGCCCAAACCUUUAAGUUGUUAAAUGUGUCCAGAGUCAAAACUGGGAAAUGAGCUGUUAAGGUUGAUAAUGGGCUGGUGUAUCAGAGCAAGAGCAUAAAAAGACUGAAGGUGAAGAAGCUGAGGUCUAUUGAUGGUGAUCUCAUUACUUUCCCCCCUUGAAUUCUGAGUUUCUCAUCGCCUCACUUUUUUCUUUGAUAGUCCUGCUUUUAUGUUUCUUUCUUGCAGAGACAGAACAGCAACCCUAAUUCUUCCUGGGAAGUUUUGCCUAAGCCCAAUAAUGAAGCAGUAGAUGGAAACCAAAAGAUACCAGCAGCCACUCCAAGAACAGGCAUGAUGUGGUCUCUUCAAUUUACCUGGAGACCAAUCUGACUGCCGCAUUUUAAACUAACUGAAGUUACUGAACUAUGUACAAAGGAAGUCCUACAUAGAGUCCAUUGCAGUAGUCUAGCCUGAAGGUUACCAGCUGAUGCACCAGUUUUGAGGUCAUUCUCUUCAAAGAACAGGCGGAGCCGUCGUAUCAACCAAAGGAUCAGAAGGAUCAGACCUUCUCAGUUGUCACCCCUAGUUUGUGGAACACACUGCCUAUCGGUAUAAGAAGUUUAGCAUAUUUUGAGGCUUUCAGGAUAGCCAUAAAGACCCAUAUCUUCAGCCUGGCAUUUAAUAACAUGUAAAUAGUUUUUAAAUGAGUUUUCUGUUAAUAUUUUGAUUGCUUUUAUUUUAUUAUUUAUGUUAAUAUUGUCAGUGGUUUGAAUUUAUGUGAUUUGAAUUUUUAAUGUACACCCCCCUGAGCCAUUCAAGGAUGGGCAGAUAUAAAGGGGAGAGGGAGAGAGAGAGAAUGAGAAUAAAUGGUUGAUAUUAAGUGU